AAAAAGGGGUCGAGACUAAGAGCAAAAAGCUGCGCAUCAGCUAGAGAAGGAGGAGUUGCUGCCUUCUCUUCUUCUUCAUGGAUCUCACUGAAAUAAACUGUACCGAAGGCUCCACUAACACUCCAAACUUCACCUCGUCUUCCUUUAAAAAUACAGCUUGAAGUUACUGCAAUACCAGCCCCAAAAUCCCCAUAAAACUCCAUUAUACUAGCACCAAAAUUCCCAUAAAAUUCCAUUAAAACGCAGCAGCAGUAGCUACUUAAGGAGCACAUAAAUUGUCCCUUUCACAGCCUUAUUCCUCCACUUUAAACCUACCUGAAACCUCACUUAAACUACCUCAAAAAUAGCUGUAAAAACAGCCACUAAGCCAUCUGAAAAUAUGCACCGAAUCACUGCCAAAACACCUCUUCGGACUUCUCAUACAAGCACGUGAAAGGUCCUCAAAGCAGCAAAGCUUUGAGUCAAAGUUUUCGGUCUAUCGAGAUCCAUUCGUGAAUCCCUUUCACUGCCCGUUCUUCGUUUCUUCAGUCGAGUUUGAGGAUCUGUCGAGGUCGAGUUUCCCACGAGUCAAGUUGUAAUCUUGUUGUUUUGACAAUGAGUCGAUGUUGAAAGUCACGUAACUCAAUAUCAAAGGAAAUGGCCUUAAGCUUAAUUGAAGGUUCGGUUCUCUUGUUUUUUUAUUCAAUAAUAAAUAUCAUGCUUAAUCUAUUUCUCUAGAAUAUUUAAAUAAAUUUGGAAAAUCCACUUUGUUUGAAACUUAGCUCUAGAUGUUUUGUUUGGAUAAAUUGAUCUUAUGGUCUCUAAUGAUAUAGGCUAUGUGACAGUUCAUUUUCCUUUACUUUGCAUGAUCACCGUUUGAUGAAAUGCUUUAUUAAUCAUGGUAGUUAUUUGUUCUCUUAUUUAAAUGGAAUCGUUGCUGCUUAAGCUAUUUUUGACAAUUUGUUUAUCUCGAAUUUUGUUUGAUACGCAAGGAGUUAAGUUCAUAAAAUGUAUCAGAUAUUUAUUAAAAUAAGAAUAAAAAAUAUUAGUAGAUCUUAGCCAUAAUUUUGAGUGGCAAUUGUGAUCAAGUCACUUUAAAAAUUCUUAAUGCUACUCCUUAGACUAGAGUACAUCAUUUCUUUCACAAUAAUUCCAUAAUCCAUGGUGUUGCAACAAUCUCAAAGAUUAAGAAAAUAAUUCAAAAGUGCGUAGUUGUUUUAGGCGCAUUAUUUAAAUUAAUAUCCUUAAACUCGGGUGUGCAUUUCAUGUGACCCAACUCCAAUUCUCAACAACGUUAAGUAAAAUGUGUCAUGAACCGCGAGUGCAUUUCAUGUGGCGUGGUUCAAGAUAUGUUUUAGACAACGUUAAACUUCCUAAAAUUAAAUAAAAGCGGUUUGAAAGUUAAAAAUGCACAUAGGUUUAAAAUGUAUUAAAAUCAGAUAAUAGGCCAAUAAUAAUUGUUGAGCGACCGUGCUAGAACCACGGAACCCGGAAAUGCCUAACACCUGCUCCUGGGUUAACAUAAUUUCUUACCCGGAUUUUUGUGUUCGCGGACUGUAAACAGAGUCAAUCUUUCCUCGAUUCGAGAUUUAAACCGGUGACUUGGGACACCAUAAAUUAUCCUAAGUGGCGACUCUGAAUAAAUAAAUAAAUCACGUUUCGAUUGUCACUUAAAUUGGAAAAAACUCCCUUAUACUCCCUUCCGGGGGUAGGAAAAAAGAGGUGAGAUAGCUCUGGCGACUCUGCUGGGGACAAGAACCCAGAAUCUCUGGUUCAGGUUUCAAGAAUUCGAGCUUAGAAUAAUUGUUAUAUUUGGCUUUAUUUAUUAUCUGGUAUUAUUCACAUGUUUGAGCCUAAUGUGCUAAAUAUUGCUUUUUACCACUUUGAUAUUGUUGAACUAUAUAUGAAUUGUUACAAAUCCCUCCUCUCUCUGAGUCUUCUAAAUUAUUUGAGAAGUGUGCACUUUGUGUGACUUCUUUUCUGUUAGAGUCAUAUCCCAAUUUUAGAAUGAGGUUCGGACAAGUUGCAAAGCCGGUGAAACUUCUGUAUUCCCGGUACGCUGCCCCCCUCGGCUUGAGCUAUCCGCUCAGGUAAGCCAGGUCUAGAACAAAUAAACCUACGUUUUUAAACCUAGAAUAACAUAGCCUCAUGUCGGAUCCCUAGUAGGAACGUUUGUUUGCAUCACGUGCAUCUGACUUUGGGGACUCAACACAGGGGUUGGGUCCGUCUAGGACAGGUGUACCCAAAAUAACAGACCAUCUUGAUGCAUUCUAUGUACUACAUGUUGUAUUUUUUCAAUGGUAAAAGGGUCAUUUGGCGGACCAAUGAUAGUUGAGGGCAAAUGGAAAAAGAAAAAAAAAGAGAAAAAAAAGAGGUUGAAGUAUAAAAAUGAAGCAAGUNNNNNNNNNNNNNNNNNNNNNNNNNNNNNNNNNNNNNNNNNNNNNNNNNNNNNNNNNNNNNNNNNNNNNNNNNNNNNNNNNNNNNNNNNNNNNNNNNNNNNNNNNNNNNNNNNNNNNNNNNNNNNNNNNNNNNNNNNNNNNNNCUUGCACACCUUUUCAAAAAAAAACAAAAAAAAUUGAAAAUGAAAAAAAAAUCCAAAAAAAAAGUUUGCAUUUUCCCUGUCAUUUUUUCUAAAAAAAAAAAGAAAAUAAAAAAUCAAAAUAAAAAUAAAAGAAAAUCCAAAAGAUUUUUACAUGUUUCAUCAUUUUUUUCAAAACAAAAGACAAAAAUAUUUUUUUCUCUAAAUUAGUUGUUAUUUUUAUUUCUCGCCCGUAUCCAAUCUGCCCGAACUACGCAUACCUGAUUCUCGUCUUUCGGGGCGUGAUACUUAGGCAACCCACAUAGGGUCCGGUCUUGCUAGUAAAUCUUAGGUUCUUGACUUUGCGGGGUCUUAGCCAAAAUUUUGCACUUCUAGCCAUCUUUUGGCCAAAUAAGUCAUUUUGCAAAAAUAACCUCAAUCAUGUCUUGCAUGUGCCUAACAAGGAGUGUUAUUAUGUCACAUAGUGUUGGUUAAAGUUUUCUCAUACAGGUGUGGGUCUAUUUAGCGGAGUUUGAGCAUGACAGACACCCCGGGACCAUCCAGUCAGGAUCGCUCAUUCAGGAGUUGUUUAAGGAGAUUUUUUUUUGUUGAGUCUGUUUUUAUUUUAUGUCAUAUUUUACCUUCUAGUUUUGUACAGUAAUGUCGAGUCUUUUGUUAUGGUAUUGCUUAUUUUGUAUUUGAAAAAAAAAGUAUAAUAAAUCAAAAACCCCAAAAAAAAAAGAUUUUGCGUUUUUAUAUUUCUGUUAGAUAUUUUCUUUAAAAUACAUACUCUAGAAGUUCAAAAAUCUUUUGUGGUUUUUCAUUUAGGAAAUUAAUAUCUAGAACUCAAAAUAAAAAUUGCCUUUAUAUUUCCUUUCGUA
This 3378-nucleotide long non-coding RNA is filed under the name Nicotiana tabacum (common tobacco). RNAcentral describes it as "long non-coding RNA (NTAB_LNC014082)". Lineage: Eukaryota; Viridiplantae; Streptophyta; Magnoliopsida; Solanales; Solanaceae. The record is from RNAcentral.